This 2432-nucleotide long non-coding RNA is filed under the name Mytilus galloprovincialis (Mediterranean mussel). Lineage: Eukaryota; Metazoa; Mollusca; Bivalvia; Mytilida; Mytilidae. The record is from RNAcentral.
CCAGCAUUUGUUUGCCACGCCCUCCUACCGCUUCUAUUAGAGUUAUCAAUACCAAAUUUGAACCAUGGAUAGACCUCAUCAUGAACUUUUACCAGAUGAACUUUUGUAGGAUUUCAUCAUCCCCUUUGGAAGUUAUCUCCCUUUUAUUGAUUUUUUUCAACAUGGUCCCCCCAAAAUGUUUUAAAAGAUAUCAUGACCUUAUUUGGACAAUAGGUAGAUAUUAUCAUGAUGUAUUACCAUAUGAGGCUGCAUAGGAUUUCAUCAUCCGCUUUGAGAGUUAUAUCCCCUUGAAGCAAUUUCUUUUAUUUGUAUUUUUCUUUAAAAGUAUUAGAGAUAGACUCGAUUUGAAAAUGGCAGCAUAUACAAGAACAGAUGGCAAUGUUUACAAACAUAAACAAUUAAUUUGUUACUAAGCCUUAUAAGGAGUUAUUUCCCUUUAAAAAUAUAUAAUAUUUUUGAAAAGUUCUAUUUCGAGAACCAGAAGUCGUAGAGACUUGGGACCUACACCAAUAAUCUUAAGUUCAUGUGACCUUUAAUUUGCACCCAAGGUCAAAGGUCACAGAGUGCGAAAAAAAAUUUACGCUGCAAUUUCAAGCUUACAUAUUAGGAAAACUUUGCUGCCUACAUACAGCGUAUAAAAUGUUCCUCUCGACAAGCUCUACAUUUUAUAUAAUAAGCACAAAAAUGUCCGACUGUCUGUUCAAAAGUUACGACGGGAUGAUUCUUAAAAGUAUAGUAUUUUGUGUAUAUCUUUUUAAAGGUAACAGAUAUCAACCUACUAUAAACAGCGAAGAUGAUCAGUAGUUCAAGACCUUCAAUUUGAGGUCAAUGUCAGUCAUGAUGAAUUUCACCUUGACUUCACAUUAUACUAUGACCUUGACCUUGUGAUAUUUGAAAGGUCAAGUGGUCCUGAGUUGAAUGGUGAUAGUCCCAUGUCUCUACGACUUCUGGUUUUCAAGUUUUGUAUUGCAUCAUAUAUUUGAUGAUUAAUUGUGACCUUAGUGAACUUUGAAAUUGUCCCAAUUCUUUUUCUAUAAUGUUGUCCUUUAACUGUAGAUCAUUUAUCAUUUAACAGAUUUGAGAUAUCUAUUGUCGUUUUAGAGAUAAUGCAGUUUGAAGUUUUGUGAGCGGAGGCAUGUAUUUCUGAAUCAUCAAGAGCUUACCACUUAAAAUGUUUUAGAAAUUGAAGAGGUUGACAUAGUUAAUAUGUUGACCAAAUAAAUACCAAAAACAUUCCAUGGAAAAAAACACCAAAAAAUAAUUUGAAAAUUUCAAGUUUUGCAUUGACUUUGUAAGUUUCAUAACUUCUAUUUUAUAUAGUUGAUAUUGCAUCAUUAUUGCACUUGUCAAAUGGGGUCAUCUCAUAAUCAAAUUGAAGGUCUUAAUAACUCUACUUUAAAAUAAAUUUUAAACCCACUUUUCAUCAGGGGACGGGUGGGGUCAUUUAGUGCAAACAUUCAAAUUUCUCAAGAUGGUAAGGUGUCGCAUAUCAAAUGAAAGAACAUAAAGCGUACAUUUCAAAUUUCAAAUUGACGUCUCCCAAAAAUGGGUUGGAUGGGGUCAUUGAGUGCAAAAAAUAAAUGUUCUUUUAAGGUAGGGUUGUUGUAUAUCAAAUGAAAGGUCAUGAUGUGUACAUUGGAAAUAUCAAAUCCCUACCUCCAAAAAUUAGUUGGAUAGGGUUAUUAAGUGCAAAAAUCAAACUUUCUAGAACAUAGAGUUGUUGCAUAUCAAAUGAAAGCUCAUCUACUCUAUGUAUUUAUAUCAUAAUUCCGAUCUCAAAAAUGUAGGCGGAUGAGGUCAUUAAGUGUUAAAAGCGGAAAGUUUCAGAAGGUAUGCUUGUAUAUCAAACGAAAGGUCGUACAAGGUACAUUACGAAAACAUCACUUUUACAGGAAAGACCUUUCAAUUGUUUUACAAACAAUUGAGAUACUAGUUUUUUUCUUUUUUUUCUUCCAGCAUUGUUUUGGCACACCCUCCUACCGCGUCUAUAAGAGUUAUCAAUACCAAAUUUAAACCAUCGAUAGACCUCAUCAUGAACUUAUACCAGAUGAACUUUUGUAGGAUUUCAUCAUCCCCUUUAGAAGUUAUCUCCCUUAUAUUGAUUUUUUUCAACAUUGCCCCCCAUAAAUAUUUUAAAAGAUAUCAUAACUUUAUUUUGACAAUAGGUAGAUCUCAUCAUGAUGUGUUACCAUAUGAGGCUGCUAAGGAUUUCAUCAUCCAAUAUGAGAGUUAUGUCCCCUUGAAGCAAUUUUUUUCUUUUGCAUUUUUCUCAAAAAGUAUUAAAGAUAGAAUCGAUUUGAAAACGGCAGCAUGUACAAGACGAGAUGGCAUUGCUCAUAAACAUAUACAAUCAUUUUGUUGUUAACCCUUAUAAUGAGUUAUUUCCCUUGAAAAAAUAUACACAAUUUUUGAAAAAUUGUAUCUCGAGAUCC